RNAcentral lists this ribosomal RNA (442 nucleotides) under uncultured bacterium. RNAcentral describes it as "partial 16S ribosomal RNA". It matches the Rfam family "Bacterial small subunit ribosomal RNA", at positions 338 to 795 of the family's 1533-position model. The record is from RNAcentral.
CCUACGUGAGGCAGCAGUGGGGGAUAUUGGACAAUGGGGGGAACCCUGAUCCAGCGACGCCGCGUGAGUGAAGAAGUAUCUCGGUAUGUAAAGCUCUAUCAGCAGGGAAGAAGAAAUGACGGUACCUGAGUAAGAAGCCCCGGCUAACUACGUGCCAGCAGCCGCGGUAAUACGUAGGGGGCAAGCGUUAUCCGGAAUUACUGGGUGUAAAGGGAGCGUAGACGGUGAUGUAAGUCUGGAGUGAAAGCCCGCGGCCCAACCGCGGGACUGCAUUGGGAACUACCGGGCUGGAGUGCCGGAGAGGUAGGCGGAAUUCCUAGUGUAGCGGUGAAAUGCGUAGAUAUUAGGAGGAACACCAGUGGCGAAGGCGGCCUACUGGACGGUGACUGACGCUGAGGCUCGAAAGCGUGGGGAGCAAACAGGAUUAGAUACCCGGGUAGUC